RNAcentral lists this unclassified non-coding RNA (232 nucleotides) under Hevea brasiliensis (rubber tree). Lineage: Eukaryota; Viridiplantae; Streptophyta; Magnoliopsida; Malpighiales; Euphorbiaceae. The record is from RNAcentral.
AACCAUUCUAAGAGAAGAAUCAGAAUAUAGUUCAGAAACCAGGGAGGCAAUAGGAUAACCGAAAGUGUGAACACUUUGAUUUCUAACUGGUUAAGGUGCUGAAUUAGAAUAAAGUGAACUAGACUAUUUCCGAUACUAGUUGCAGAAAGGCCUCUCCUUUUGAGAAAGAUGGUGGUUAGUUUUGUCAUAUACCACAGAAAAGCUUGUUGAAAUGGCCCUAUUGCUCAAAAAA